RNAcentral lists this ribosomal RNA (450 nucleotides) under uncultured bacterium. RNAcentral describes it as "SSU rRNA". It matches the Rfam family "Bacterial small subunit ribosomal RNA", at positions 26 to 518 of the family's 1533-position model. The record is from RNAcentral.
AGGAUGAACGCUGGCGGUCUGCUUAACACAUGCAAGUCGAACGGAGUAGCAAUACUUAGUGGCGGACGGGUGAGUAACGCGUGAGAAUCUACCUUCAGGACGGAGACAACAGUUGGAAACGACUGCUAACCCCCGAUGUACCGAAAGGGCAAAUAUUUAUAGCCUGAAGAAGAGCUCGCGUCCGAUUAGCUAGUUGGAGAGGUAAAAGCUCACCAAGGCGACGAUCGGUAGCUGGUCUGAGAGGACGAUCAGCCACACUGGGACUGAGACACGGCCCAGACUCCUACGGGAGGCAGCAGUGGGGAAUUUUCCGCAAUGGGCGAAAGCCUGACGGAGCAAGACCGCGUGGGGGAAGAAGGCUCUUGGGGUUGUAAACCCCCUUUUCUCUGGGAAGAACGCAAUGACGGUACCAGAGGAAUCAGCAUCGGCUAACUCCGUGCCAGCAGCCGC